Molecule: ribosomal RNA, 253 nt
Filed under: uncultured bacterium
Lineage: Bacteria
Description: partial 16S ribosomal RNA
Rfam family: Bacterial small subunit ribosomal RNA
Source: RNAcentral
UACGGAGGGUGCAAACGUUAUUCGGAAUCACUGGGCUUAAAGGGUGCGUAGGCGGCUUGUUAAGUAGGGUGUGAAAUCCCCCGGCUCAACCGGGGAAUUGCGCCCUAAACUGGCGAGCUGGAGUGAGAUAGGGGUGUGUGGAACUUCCAGUGGAGCGGUGAAAUGUGUUGAUAUUGGAAGGAACGCCAGUGGCGAAAGCGACACACUGGGUCUCAACUGACGCUGAGGCACGAAAGCCAGGGGAGCAAACGGG